AUUGGACGCUGGCGGCAGGCUUAACACAUGCAAGUCGAACGAGUGGCGGACGGGUGAGUAAUGCUUGGGAAUCUCGCUUAUGGAGGGGGAUAACUACGGGAAACUGUAGCUAAUACCGCGUACCAUAGGAUGAGCCCAAGUGGGAUUAGGUAGUUGGUGAGGUAAAGGCUCACCAAGCCGACGAUCUCUAGCUGGUCUGAGAGGAUGACCGGCCACACGGGGACUGGGACAGGGCCCAGACUCUUACGGGGGGAAGCAGGGGGUAAUAUUGCGCAAUGGGGGCAACCUGAAGCAGCCAUGCCGGGUGAAUGAAGAAGGCCUUCGGGUUGUAAAGUUCUUUCGGUAGCGAGGCGUUAACGACAGAAGAAGCACCGGUUAACUCCGUGCCAGCAGCCGCGGUAAUA
RNAcentral lists this ribosomal RNA (404 nucleotides) under uncultured bacterium. RNAcentral describes it as "partial 16S ribosomal RNA". It matches the Rfam family "Bacterial small subunit ribosomal RNA", at positions 30 to 525 of the family's 1533-position model. The record is from RNAcentral.